GGAAUCUUGCACAAUGGGCGAAAGCCUGAUGCAGCCAUGCCGCGUGAGUGAAGCAGGCCUUAGGGUUGUAAAGAUCUUUCAUUGGUGAAGAUAAUGACGGUAGCCACAGAAGAAGCCCAGGCUAACUCCGUGCCAGCAGCCGCGGUAAUACGGAGGGGGCUAGCGUUGUCCGGAAUCACUGGGCGUAAAGCGCACGUAGGCGGAUGAGCAAGUUGGGGGUGAAAGCCCGGAGCUCAACUCCGGAAUUGCCUCCAAAACUGAUCGUCUCGAGUCCGGGAGAGGUGAGUGGAAUUCCUAGUGUAGAGGUGAAAUUCGUAGAUAUUAGGAAGAACACCAGUGGCGAAGGCGGCUCACUGGCCCGGUUACUGACGCUGAGGUGCGAAAGCGUGGGGAGCAAAC
This 399-nucleotide ribosomal RNA is filed under the name uncultured bacterium. RNAcentral's name for it is "bacterial SSU rRNA". It matches the Rfam family "Bacterial small subunit ribosomal RNA", at positions 358 to 773 of the family's 1533-position model. The record is from RNAcentral.